AUAGAAUACCUGGUCGUGAGCUUCUGCAAUUGAAAAAUACACAUGCCAAUUCAAGAUCCACGGAGAACUGCGUGCCAGCACCGUCCUGCUAAGAAGAUGGCGAUUAGUGUGAGACCAGCCCUGGAUAUUUUCUUGUGCAACAACAAUGCGCCGAAGAAACGCAGAGAGAGAUGCUUCGCUCCGUGACCGUGGUAUCGCCAGCCGACGCACGCAUUUGCGGAUACUUGGGGGUCACCACUUCUGUCUGGCUAGACGACACGUCUGUCCGGUAAGCGGCGUAUUUCGCUAACUGUCAACUAUGGAAGAUAAGGAAAAAAUGAGUGACCAGCGUCGCGGCGUAUUGUGUUUCAAGAACUGAUGGUGUCUGUUUUCGCUACUUCGUUGAUGGAAAAUCUCCGCAGCUACCUGCUUCGAUAGACAGUGGUCACUAUUUUGGUUUUGUUUUCCUGCUUUGAUAACAAUACAGACUUCUAGCAAUUGGUAGAAGCAAGUUGGUACAUAGAACUUCCAAAACUUCCUUUAAACUUCUCCAGUUCAAAAAAGAAAAAACAUUUGGUGCUUUCUAUUUAGUGACACAAGUCGACACAAACGUCAUUCUAUCUUACUUAACAUUUAGUGAGUAACAAAGACAAAACGAUACUUGUGUGUCACUAACAAUAAGUCACACAAGUGAUUAGUGACACACAAAAUUGUGUGUCAUUUUUUAUUUUCGAUGUCAAAUCAAAAAUUGCAAUUUCUCAAUGAAUACUUCUAACUUCAGUGGAUAUUCAGAGGAUAACUAUAUGUAUGAAGAAAUGUAAUAGAUAUACAGUUAACCUUUAAACCACACCCAAAAAAUCGCACUAAUCACAAUAUCGGUCUAAGAGACCACUAUUAUGCUUCCGCUAAUUUUAUAAGUUAAUUAUAAUAAAAAUGUAUUUUUUCUGAAUACUUGUUGAUGGGGAAAAGAAAAAC
Long non-coding RNA from Wasmannia auropunctata (little fire ant), 954 nucleotides. RefSeq lists it as uncharacterized. The record is from RefSeq and is a predicted model, not a curated record. The transcript has 3 exons. NCBI's taxonomy places the organism in Eukaryota, Metazoa, Arthropoda, Insecta, Hymenoptera, Formicidae.